GACGGAGGGUGCAAGCGUUGUUCGGAAUCACUGGGCGUUAAGCGCGUGUAGGCGGUUUGGUAAGUCGCAUGUGAAAGCCCGAGGCUCAACCUCGGAAGUGCAUUCGAAACUGUCAGGCUUGAGGACGGGAGAGGGAAGUGGAAUUCCUGGUGUAGAGGUGAAAUUCGUAGAUAUCAGGAGGAACACCGGUGGCGAAGGCGGGUUCCUGGACCGAUACUGACGCUCAAACGCGAAAGCGUCGGGAGCAAACAGG
This 253-nucleotide ribosomal RNA is filed under the name uncultured bacterium. Its description in RNAcentral is "partial 16S ribosomal RNA". It matches the Rfam family "Bacterial small subunit ribosomal RNA", at positions 524 to 776 of the family's 1533-position model. The record is from RNAcentral.